RNAcentral lists this ribosomal RNA (596 nucleotides) under uncultured bacterium. RNAcentral's name for it is "bacterial SSU rRNA". It matches the Rfam family "Bacterial small subunit ribosomal RNA", at positions 788 to 1384 of the family's 1533-position model. The record is from RNAcentral.
UGGUAGUNCACGCCGUAAACGAUGAGUGCUAGGUGUUGGAUCCUUUCCGGGAUUCAGUGCCGCAGCUAACGCAUUAAGCACUCCGCCUGGGGAGUACGACCGCAAGGUUGAAACUCAAAGGAAUUGACGGGGGCCCGCACAAGCGGUGGAGCAUGUGGUUUAAUUCGAAGCAACGCGAAGAACCUUACCAGGUCUUGACAUCCCGAUGCUAUUUCUAGAGAUAGAAAGUUACUUCGGUACAUCGGUGACAGGUGGUGCAUGGUUGUCGUCAGCUCGUGUCGUGAGAUGUUGGGUUAANNCCNGCAACGAGCGCAACCCCUAUUGUUAGUUGCCAUCAUUCAGUUGGGCACUCUAGCGAGACUGCCGGUAAUAAACCGGAGGAAGGUGGGGAUGACGUCAAAUCAUCAUGCCCCUUAUGACCUGGGCUACACACGUGCUACAAUGGUUGGUACAACGAGUUGCGAGUCGGUGACGGCAAGCUAAUCUCUUAAAGCCAAUCUCAGUUCGGAUUGUAGGCUGCAACUCGCCUACAUGAAGUCGGAAUCGCUAGUAAUCGCGGAUCAGCACGCCGCGGUGAAUACGUUCCCGGGCCUNGU